UUUGAAUCUAUUUUGUUUUAUUCCAUUUUGUUUUAUUUUUACCUUUUUUUUAAUAACUGUUUAGGCGUUUGUACAUUCCGCAAAGUAAUAAAGUAACAAGUAGCCAAAACUUAAAAAUCGAAAUAACAAAUGAAAAAGGUUACAAUGUAACGAAUUACUUUUUUUAUGCAAAAAUAAACUGUCCUAUAACAUACACAGAUAUAGAAAAUGAGCUAAUUCUUACGCAAGUUGAUCAAUUAAAACAAGAAGACAAUGAUAAAACAAAAAUAAAUGCAAAUAAUAAUUUAAACAAUUUUAAUUUGUUAAAUGUUAAUAAUAAUAAUAAUGGUAAAUCCACAGGGUUUACUUAUCAAAAUAAACUCGGACGCUUUUUACUUUUAAUAAUUAUUAUAUAUUAUAUAUACAUAUAUAUAUGUAUUUUUUAAUAUAUAUAUAUAUAUAUAUUGACACAUUUUAUGUUUUAAAAAAAUUCAGCUGUUUUAUGUUAGUCAUGCAAGUUAUUAAAAUUAAUUUUGUUAUGUAUGUUUAUAUUUUUAACGCAAUUCUUCCGCUAGGCCAUUCGUUUCUUCGGUCUUUUUUUUUUUUUUUUUUUUUUUUUUUUUUUCUACUUUUUUUUUUUUUUUAUUAUCUUUAUUUAUUUUUUUUUCUUUUAAAUAAUUAUUUUUUUUUACUUUUAAUAUACUUAAAUAGUUAUUUAUAUUAUGACAUAAUUCAUUGUAUUCGUUACUGUCUUUGUUAACAUUCUUGUUUUUGUUGUUGCUUUUUUUACUUUUCUCUGACAAUAAAUAUGGUAAAAUAAUAUCA
This 804-nucleotide long non-coding RNA is filed under the name Piliocolobus tephrosceles (Ugandan red Colobus). RNAcentral's name for it is "lncRNA (ENSPTEG00000011176.1)". The record is from RNAcentral. Lineage: Eukaryota; Metazoa; Chordata; Mammalia; Primates; Cercopithecidae.